CCUGAUGCACUGAAGGAAUGGGUGGGGGUGGUGGAGGUGGGUGUGAGUCAUAUGGCGUCUCAUCCUGAACUGUCGAUGGUCUACCCUGCUGACCACCGAUCUCCUGCCUGAGGCUAGCCAAAGCCUUCUGGAUAGAAGCCAUGGCAGCCGUGAACUGAUCGACCGUGACAACCUGCUGAUCCAUAUCUGGUGUAUCUGAAACCCGAACUAAUCUGCCCUCUACUCUGAUCCACGAAACUAUACCCAGACUGAGAGUAAAAAUCCUGAUCCUGAAAGUACUCCUCCUCUGCUCUGAUCCACAAAGGUAUAUCAAGACAAGGAACAAAGGUCCGAUCCUACAAAGCACGAAGAACGGAAUAAGGAUAUGGCUCGGGGAAUGUAUAGAAGAAAAGAUAAUCUGAACAGGAACAAGCAAAGCAUCCAAGUGAAGAUGAGCGGUCCGACCGUACUCAAACUCGUCAUGAUCUCAGUGCACUCUCAACUGGAGACUAAACAGAGGGAAAAUCGGAUCCAAAACUGCGGCUACAAAGGCACGGAAAGCCCUCAGAUGCACCCACGUGUAGGGAGGGAAUCCUAAUCGAAAGAUCUACGGCUCAACCUACAAGGUCAAGGUGGCUCUAAAUGGAUAAGGGUGGACUUUAAAAUAUCCCUAGCAGAAGCGAUCAUACCCUCCGGCGGUAUGCAACCCUCUGCACGCCUCCGAAGAGACGGGGCGCUUCCAUGCAAGGUGGUCAUCACCUCCACACAUGCACUACCUCGCAUCCCAGGGGGUUUCCUAUGGUGAAACCUCUCAAACUCUCAACACUCAAUAGCCAACUAGCGUGCACAGUGAUGGUGUGGGUGCAUCCGAAACCCUAAGAAGCUAAAGCAGGAUAUGAAACACACUGGCCACACAAAUAUCCAUGAAACCUAGCUCCGGGCUAUACAGGUCUUCAAUGAUCGGACUCCAAUCGACAUCAAAGUGUCACUCUCCUCCAGAAUGCUCCCGUGCAUCGAUAUAGCCCGUCGCUAGACCCUACUCCUAAUCUCUAGCUCGGUCAGAGAGCAAGCACACAGAAGGUCUCACACUUGCAAUAGUGAGAACCGGGAUGAAAGGAAUGACCGAAACCAAGAGAGUUGGAGGUAAGGGGAUAUAUAUGCAGCCCACAUAGACAAGCGACAUGCAAUCAAGCAGAAGAAGGGCAGUCAUGCAUCAUACAGUCAAGCAGAGUACAGGAUAUAUCACUCAUGUCCACACAAAAAGCUACAACUAUCAGGAUGAAUAGCAAUAUGGACAUCAUGCUCAAAAGACGAUCAAGACAAUAUGCCAGUCAGAGAAAACAACAUAGCCAGCUGAGUGAUGUACAGCGGUGAGUGUAUGCAUGUGAAGUGAUCAGAAUAAUCAUGGCAAAAUCAGGAUCAAUGCGCUAAGCAACACGAAAUGAUCAAUCAAUAUAAUCAGCAUGUCAAAAUCUCAAAUGAAUAUAUCAAUGAAGCACAGAGAAAAAAGCUAUCUCGGAAUCCUCUAU
RNAcentral lists this long non-coding RNA (1508 nucleotides) under Vitis vinifera (wine grape). Its description in RNAcentral is "long non-coding RNA (VVIN_LNC000482)". Lineage: Eukaryota; Viridiplantae; Streptophyta; Magnoliopsida; Vitales; Vitaceae. The record is from RNAcentral.